Dunckerocampus dactyliophorus (ringed pipefish) is the source of this 1247-nucleotide long non-coding RNA. RefSeq lists it as uncharacterized. The transcript has 4 exons. The record is from RefSeq and is a predicted model, not a curated record. Lineage: Eukaryota; Metazoa; Chordata; Actinopteri; Syngnathiformes; Syngnathidae.
UGUAAACAGGAAGAAUGUUUGGAAUAGUGCGUGAAACAAAUUUACAAACACAACAUAGAUCAAAGCAACAAAAAUAAUUGUUAUUAUAAUUAUUACAAUUCACGAAUAAGCUCUCCGGGACACGGCCAAAAGAAGACGUCUGACUUGCUAACCGCUAAAGUGAAGACUACUCGAAGCGCAUGUGUGACAAGUUGCACAAGUCUUCAUCGAGUACCGAAGAGUCACCCGACCACCACUUCCUGCACAGCCCACACAUGGGCAAGUAAGGCGAGUUUAUUCAUGGAGCACCAUUCGUACACAAGAUGUACCAAAGCUGCAGCUGCACUGCACACACGAGGUCAUGACCCCAGAAAGACACGAUGGGGGUCCGCCCUGCUGAUGUCACACUCUUGGAAGGUGGAAGAAAUGAAGUCCAAAGCAGAGACGAGGUGCAUCAGAGGGACUGCUGUAGGCUGACGACACAGGUGGUGGCCACUGCCGGACAUUUCUCAGCAACACCAGCAGCUGUGUGCAUCCUGAACGUGUGCCAUUGUGAUGCUUUAACAGCUGAAACGAGACACAACAAGACGAUAAGAAGACAUCAGACCUAAGCGACCACAUUAGCCGACAUAAACAGACCUCAAACAAAACAUCCACGUGUGUCUAUCGCCUACUGUUUACACCAGAGCUGCCCAAGCUUUUUCCAGUGAGGGCCACAUAGUGAAAAAUGAAAGGAUGCAAGGGCCACUUUGAUACAGUCAAACCUGUCUUAGCGGCCACCUGCAUAGAACGGCCACCUGCCUAUAGCGGCCACUGAAAAAAUCCCCCGCAGAAAAUUGACGUGUAUAGCGGUCACCUGUCUAAGGCGUCAAUAUCUGACUGCAUAUAGCGGCCAAAAUGCCGACUCAAGCAGAAGCUUCAAGCACAAAAAAGUUUCGUUUUUUAAGCAAUGAAGCCGUCGUGUGUAGACUGCACAAUCAUUCACAAGAUCCACACAAACUGUCAGUUGUUUGACAUAAAAAAAGCCGUCUUCUUUGGAGCUUGUUGCAGACAGUGACACCGUUUAUUUCCUGGUGUGAGACAAUGUGCACUGGUCAAUACUGUAAUGCCGCUUGUUGCGGGGAAGGAGAAACUCACGUCGCCGAUGCACUUUAAUCGCUUUAUUAACAGCGGUUUAUUAACCUACAGUAGUAGUUCUUUACAACUUUUAUCCGCAGUCCCAGAGUGCCCUCUACUGGUCAACAUUGAAAAUGACCGCCAACCUGUCU